RNAcentral lists this long non-coding RNA (214 nucleotides) under Glycine max (soybean). RNAcentral's name for it is "long non-coding RNA (GMAX_LNC001524)". Lineage: Eukaryota; Viridiplantae; Streptophyta; Magnoliopsida; Fabales; Fabaceae. The record is from RNAcentral.
GAGAAUUAACUUAGAGUUAAAUGUGAGAAUGGUAGUGUUGUAGGUGGAAAAGUGUGAGAUUUUGAGGGUUAAAAAGCCAAAUUUGGGGAUAGUGGGAAUUGGAGUCUAAAGUGAGUUGAUUCUAGUUUAGAAUGUCAAUUAGGACUUGUAAAAAAGCUUGGUCAGAGAAAAUGAGGAAAAUGAGUGACAAAUGUGAAAGAAAAGAGCCAUUUAU